UCAUGAGGUGGGAUCAUCCUUACCUGCCCCUCCGUUUGGAGGGCAGAUUGGAACAGGAUGACUGGAGUUUGUAUGAUUCGUGCUUAAUGACUCUGCAACUCUGCAUAAUCAGGACUUGCAACAUUCUGAUUGCUCCUUAAAAAA
Artibeus jamaicensis (Jamaican fruit-eating bat) is the source of this 144-nucleotide small nucleolar RNA. RefSeq annotates it as U8 small nucleolar RNA. The transcript has a single exon. Lineage: Eukaryota; Metazoa; Chordata; Mammalia; Chiroptera; Phyllostomidae. The record is from RefSeq and is a predicted model, not a curated record.